GACGAACGCUGGCGGCGUGCUUAACACAUGCAAGUCGAACGGAAAGGCCCUGCUUUUGUGGGGUGCUCGAGUGACGAACGGGUGAGUAACACGUGAGUAACCUGCCCUUGACUUUGGGAUAACUUCAGGAAACUGGGGCUAAUACCGGAUAGGAGCUCCUGCUGCAUGGUGGGGGUUGGAAAGUUUCGGCGGUUGGGGAUGGACUCGCGGCUUAUCAGCUUGUUGGUGGGGUAGUGGCUUACCAAGGCUUUGACGGGUAGCCGGCCUGAGAGGGUGACCGGCCACAUUGGGACUGAGAGACGGCCCAGACUCCUACGGGAGGCAGCAGUGGGGAAUAUUGCACAAUGGGCGGAAGCCUGAUGCAGCAACGCCGCGUGCGGGAUGACGGCCUUCGGGUUGUAAACCGAUUUCGCCUGUGACGAAGCGUGAGUGACGGUAAUGGGUAAAGAAGCACCGGCUAACUACGUG
This 468-nucleotide ribosomal RNA is filed under the name uncultured bacterium. Its description in RNAcentral is "partial 16S ribosomal RNA". It matches the Rfam family "Bacterial small subunit ribosomal RNA", at positions 28 to 507 of the family's 1533-position model. The record is from RNAcentral.